This 493-nucleotide ribosomal RNA is filed under the name uncultured bacterium. RNAcentral describes it as "partial 16S ribosomal RNA". It matches the Rfam family "Bacterial small subunit ribosomal RNA", at positions 28 to 506 of the family's 1533-position model. The record is from RNAcentral.
GACGAACGCUGGCGGCGCGCCUAACACAUGCAAGUCGAACGGAAAGGCCUGCUUUCCCUUGUGGAUUGCGGGUACUCGAGUGGCGAACGGGUGAGUAACACGUGAGUGAUCUGCCCCCAACUUGGGUAUAAGCCUGGGAAACUGGGUCUAAUUCCCGAUAGGACUGCAGGGUGGUGCCUGUGGUGGAAAACGAUUUUCUAGUGGUUGGGGAUGAGCUCGCGGCCUAUCAGCUUGUUGGUGGGGUAAUGGCCUACCAAGGCGGCGACGGGUAGCCGGCCUGAGAGGGUGGACGGCCACAUUGGGACUGAGAUACGGCCCAGACUCCUACGGGAGGCAGCAGUGGGGAAUAGUGCACAAUGGGCGGAAGCCUGAUGCAGCGACGCCGCGUGGGGGAUGACGGCCUUCGGGUUGUAAACUCCUUUCGACCGCGAGGAAGCCACCUGGUUGGAAGGGUGGUGACGGUAGUGGUAGAAGAAGCACCGGCUAACUACGU